GUCGCUUAUACCGAUUUCGAGUGGUCCGGUGAGUCCUUAGGAUGCGGUAGCAAUACUGCAGAAUUUGAGCAAACCUUAUCACUUAGAGGAAUAAA
Molecule: ribosomal RNA, 95 nt
Filed under: uncultured eukaryote
Lineage: Eukaryota
Description: partial small subunit ribosomal RNA
Source: RNAcentral